GGGGUUGUAGCUCAGCGGCAGAGCGCUUGCCUAGAACAUGAGAGGCACUGGGUUUGAUUCUCAGCAACACAU
RNAcentral lists this transfer RNA (72 nucleotides) under Ictidomys tridecemlineatus (thirteen-lined ground squirrel). RNAcentral's name for it is "Spermophilus tridecemlineatus (thirteen-lined ground squirrel) tRNA". It matches the Rfam family "tRNA". Rfam says of the family: Transfer RNA (tRNA) molecules are approximately 80 nucleotides in length. Their secondary structure includes four short double-helical elements and three loops (D, anti-codon, and T loops). The record is from Rfam by way of RNAcentral. Lineage: Eukaryota; Metazoa; Chordata; Mammalia; Rodentia; Sciuridae.